UGCUGCUGCUAGUCUUGUUGUUCUGAGGUUGUCUUUAACCAGCAACAGACAUGGCAACUGUAAUAAUAAAGAGAUUAGCACCAUCUCCUUUUGCUUUGAUUACUGUUUUAGUCACUCUUGCUGCUUUCUUCUUCAGCUCUAGAUUUCCCUUCAAACCCAUUAACACUUCUCCUCAACAACAGGAACUGCACUUGGAGCAUACCUUAGACAGUGAGAGAUCAACCGCGGAUGGAAGACUACUCCAGCCUAAAAGGAACAUAAAGUCUUAGGGGGGAAUCCUCACCUUCCCUAAUAAUUUUCCCUUUCCCUGAAAAUGAAUUGCCUCUGCAAGUACAUCUAUCUCUUUUUCCCCAUUUUGUGCAGGAGAUGGACUCACAGUCUCACAGACUCCUUGCGUGGCUUGUCCAGUACUGAGAUAAUCCCUGUGCCCUUUCCUUUGGGGUGAGGCAUGUUUUGUGUACACACACUGCGAGUCUUAGCGGUGUAGCCCACCUUUUUCGCUUUCAACUCUCUUAACAUGAUAAUUUGUCAAAAAGAAAAUCAAUUUAAACAUCCUAUUUCAUUUAUAUGUGGUGAAGAGUAUUGUUGAAUGGCAGGAGUUCUACUUCAGAAGCUACACGUGAGUUACACAUUGUCCAUAUUACGAUGUCCUUUUAGCUUAGAAUGAAAGAGCAAAAAGAAAAGAAAAGGAUACCGAGUCGAAGCAAAGGCUGCAAGAGGCACCCGGCUUAUGGAGAAACAGAAAAAAGAGGAAGCCAAACAGCAUAGUUGCAAUUCGAGGUGGAGUCAGGGAAGGGGUGGAGAGAGGUCUGGUGCAACGAUGGCUUCCCAAGGUUGGUGCGGAGACCACGAGAAAUUGCUUUGACUGGGAAGAUGAGCAAGCAAUGUGCUUGCUAUAAGGAAGAUCAAGUAAGCCAUCCACGGCUAGAAGUGUAUAAAGGACGUGAUCAUCUUGCCGAGAAAUGUCGUGUUUGAUCUAGCGACACGAUAAGUGUAAUCAAAGUAUCCUGAUAUGAACAAUGCUUACAAGUUCACUUCAUAGGCAGUUUUAAGUCGAUAGAAAGAAAUAUUGUUUACCCUUUCUUCGGUGCAGCUAUUGAUGGUUUUGAUUACUUGCCAA
Long non-coding RNA from Populus nigra (black poplar), 1120 nucleotides. RefSeq lists it as uncharacterized. The transcript has 4 exons. The record is from RefSeq and is a predicted model, not a curated record. NCBI's taxonomy places the organism in Eukaryota, Viridiplantae, Streptophyta, Magnoliopsida, Malpighiales, Salicaceae.